AGUGAACGCUGGCGGUAGGCCUAACACAUGCAAGUCGAACGGCAGCACAGUAAGAGCUUGCUCUUACGGGUGGCGAGUGGCGGACGGGUGAGGAAUACAUCGGAAUCUACUUUUUCGUGGGGGAUAACGUAGGGAAACUUACGCUAAUACCGCAUACGACCUACGGGUGAAAGCAGGGGAUCUUCGGACCUUGCGCGAUUGAAUGAGCCGAUGUCGGAUUAGCUAGUUGGCGGGGUAAAGGCCCACCAAGGCGACGAUCCGUAGCUGGUCUGGGAGGAUGAUCAGCCACACUGGAACUGAGACACGGUCCAGACUCCUACGGGAGGCAGCAGUGGGGAAUGUUGGACAAUGGGCGCAAGCCUGAUCCAGCCAUACCGCGUGGGUGAAGAAGGCCUUCGGGUUGUAAAGCCCUUUUGUUGGGAAAGAAAAGCAGCAGGUUAAUACCCCGCUGUUCUGACGGUACCCAAAGAAUAAGCACCGGCUAACUUCGUG
This 492-nucleotide ribosomal RNA is filed under the name uncultured bacterium. Its description in RNAcentral is "partial 16S ribosomal RNA". It matches the Rfam family "Bacterial small subunit ribosomal RNA", at positions 29 to 507 of the family's 1533-position model. The record is from RNAcentral.